GUAAUAUCACGUACGUACGUAGAUACAUGCAUUAGUUUAUGAGUGCGGCUAUUGGGAUCUCCAAAUUUGCUUAGUAUACCUCUCAUUCUCUCUACACCUCCAUUUUACUUUUAAAUACAAGCAUUUUCUCAUUACACCUCUUUUCAAAUUCCUAAAAUAGUCUUGUUUAUGUAAUUCACAUAUAUAUUAAUAUAUUAUUCAUUACACCUCUUAUUCACUCACUAUACCUCCAAAUUUUUUUUUCUUUUUUUUUCCUUUUUGCAUGCGAACAUCCAUUCCCGACUUCAAUU
This 290-nucleotide long non-coding RNA is filed under the name Fragaria vesca (wild strawberry). RNAcentral describes it as "long non-coding RNA (FVES_LNC004829)". The record is from RNAcentral. Lineage: Eukaryota; Viridiplantae; Streptophyta; Magnoliopsida; Rosales; Rosaceae.